RNAcentral lists this unclassified non-coding RNA (556 nucleotides) under Hevea brasiliensis (rubber tree). Lineage: Eukaryota; Viridiplantae; Streptophyta; Magnoliopsida; Malpighiales; Euphorbiaceae. The record is from RNAcentral.
AAAAAAAUAACUUAAGAACAAUCCCAAGUCAUAACCAGUAAAAAUCCUGUAAGGAACCAAAACCAGCAACUGUAACGCUGAAAUAGAAGGGAGCCGAUUGCCCCUUAACUCUAGAAACACCCUAAGUGUUGAAAGACCGAACAAAAUGUAGCAAAAGCAAAACUUUAAAAAGACCCAAGACUUAAAACCCUCCCAAACUGCACCAAAUCAACCAGCAGCUUAUGGGAUUGCUGCACAAACUCUGAGGUGACAUUGGGAAGAUAAACCGGAGGGCAGGACUUGCCGAACGCACUCUCAUUCGCUGGCGCGUGAAAUAGGGCAGAAAAACAAAAGUGGUGCAUGAGAGCCACUCACUGGACGUCCGAUGACUAGAUGGUAGGCCAGUCGGUGGACUAGAAGUGCUUUGGGAUAGGCGAUGAGACAAACAAGUAACCCUAGGUAGGUGAUCCAAAAAACCCAGUAGGUUUGAACCCCCCAAAAAACUAACGAGAAGGAAGACUUAAUAGGGCAGUUUGUGGGUAACGAAAAACAUGGGAGAAAAUUCAAAAAUAAAAUU